Molecule: long non-coding RNA, 781 nt
Filed under: Mus caroli (Ryukyu mouse)
Lineage: Eukaryota; Metazoa; Chordata; Mammalia; Rodentia; Muridae
Description: lncRNA (MGP_CAROLIEiJ_G0004801.1)
Source: RNAcentral
AGAGGGCGCCAAAGGCGACGCGCUGGCGGCCAGCUCCAAGCCAACCAGACCCAUUGCGUCCGUCUGCAGGAACCUGUCUCUUCACCCUGCUUUGGACACUGAGCUUCAGAGGAUCUGGCUGCGUGCUGAAUCAACGCCAGGGCGCCGCCUAGAGGUCGGUCGCGUCCUCGGUCUCGCUCACCGACCACAGAGCUGCUUGUCCAAGCCACAGUGUCAGACUUAAACAAAACAAAACAAAAUUCCUGCUUGGGUCAGAGACUUGGUUUCUGGGACCGUUGACUUAUCAGAAACUUGCCUCCUCUCUGCUUCAUAAUGAACCCCAGGAAGAGAGAGGGACCAGGGAUCUCAAAGAAAUAUUUGUCUUUGUGACACCGACUAGGUGGAAGAAAAGUCUCAACAUGACAAGAGGGGAUAUAAACUGUUUGAAGUUCAUCAGCACGGUGAAGUUUUAUUGUAUUUCCGGUCCCUAAGAUUUACACCCUGAAAAGAGAAGCCGGCAGCCUGGCAGACUCCCUCCAUACCUCCGAGUUUCCACGCCAGAGACACACAGUGGCCAAGCGGACACUUUGCUUUCCGGGAGCAGGGAGGGAGGGAGCCGGCUCCGACCGACUCUCCCUCAAAGGCUCAGUUCUACUUGGCUCCACUCUCCUGUCUACUCCCCUGUCUCAAGGCUGGGGUUGCCUUCGAGUUGGAAGGUUUGAUAUCUGAGAGCUGCCUGGGAGUCUGGGUAACCCUGGAGCCCAGGGACUGGCCAGAUGGUGAGUGUGUGCGAAUCUUCCUA